RNAcentral lists this microRNA precursor (75 nucleotides) under Bombyx mori (domestic silkworm). RNAcentral's name for it is "mir-2774 microRNA precursor family". It matches the Rfam family "mir-2774 microRNA precursor family". The record is from Rfam by way of RNAcentral. Lineage: Eukaryota; Metazoa; Arthropoda; Insecta; Lepidoptera; Bombycidae.
ACAACAUUUAGACCGUCGCCGCGUCGGUCUACCGAGCAAUGUCACCCGCUCGGUGAAAGAUCAUCCCGCCGUUGU